Molecule: ribosomal RNA, 220 nt
Filed under: uncultured Actinomycetales bacterium
Lineage: Bacteria; Bacillati; Actinomycetota; Actinomycetes; Actinomycetales
Description: partial 16S ribosomal RNA
Rfam family: Bacterial small subunit ribosomal RNA
Source: RNAcentral
GUAACACGUGGGUGAUCUGCCCUGCACUUCGGGAUAAGCUUGGGAAACUGGGUCUAAUACCGGAUAGGAGCCAUCUUUAGUGUGGUGGUUGGAAAGUUUUUCGGUGUAGGAUGAGCUCGCGGCCUAUCAGCUUGUUGGUGGGGUAAUGGCCUACCAAGGCGGCGACGGGUAGCCGGCCUGAGAGGGUGUACGGCCACAUUGGGACUGAGAUACGGCCCAG